This is an RNA transcript of Carlito syrichta (Philippine tarsier), 439 nucleotides long. It is a transcript of the gene named 60S acidic ribosomal protein P0 pseudogene, with no coding region annotated. The transcript has a single exon. NCBI's taxonomy places the organism in Eukaryota, Metazoa, Chordata, Mammalia, Primates, Tarsiidae. The record is from RefSeq and is a predicted model, not a curated record.
GAAUAAACUAGCUCUCGCCAGGCGUUCUCGUGUGAGUGACAUCGUCUUUAAACCCUGCGUGGCAAUCCCUGACGCACCGCCAUGAUGCCCAGGGAAGACAGGGCGACCUGGAAGUCCAACUACUUUCUUAAGAUAAUCCAACUUUUGGAUGACUACCCAAAAUGCUUCAUUGUGGGCGCAGACAACGUGGGCUCCAAGCAGAUGCAGCAGAUCCGCAUGUCCCUCCGAGGGAAGGCUGUGGUGCUGAUGGGCAAGAACACCAUGAUGCGCAAGGCCAUCCGAGGGCAUCUGGAAAACAACCCAGCUCUGGAGAAACUGUUGCCUCAUAUCCGGGGGAAUGUAGGCUUUGUGUUCACCAAGGAGGACCUCACUGAGAUCCGGGACAUGCUGCUGGCCAACAAGGUGCCAGCUGCUGCCCGUGCUGGUGCCAUUGCCCCAU